UUGGAGGGCAAGUCUGGUGCCAGCAGCCGCGGUAAUUCCAGCUCCAAUAGCGUAUAUUAAAGUUGUUGCAGUUAAAAAGCUCGUAGUUGAAUUUUAGGCCUGGCCGGGCGGCCCGUCUUUGGCGAGUACUGUCUGUUGUUGGGUCUUCCUUCUGGUGAACCAGUAUGUCCUUUAUUGGGUGUGUUGGGGAGCCAGGACCAUUACCUUGAAAAAAUUAGAGUGUUUAAAGCGGGCUAUUGCUUGAAUAGAUUAGCAUGGAAUAAUAGAAUAGGACGUUGUGGUUCUAUUUUGUUGGUUUCUAGGACCACCGUAAUGAUUAAUAGGGAUAGUUGGGGGCAUUAGUAUUCAAUUGUCAGAGGUGAAAUUCUUGGAUUUAUUGAAGACUAACUAUUGCGAAAGCAUUUGCCAAGGAUGUUUUCAUUAAUCAAGAACGAAAGUUAGGGGAUCGAAGACGAUCAGAUACCGUCGUAGUCUUAACCAUAAACUAUGCCGACUAGGAAUCGGGCGUCGUUAUUUUAAUGACUCGCUCGGCGCCUUACGGGAAAC
This 546-nucleotide ribosomal RNA is filed under the name uncultured Ambispora. RNAcentral's name for it is "SSU rRNA". It matches the Rfam family "Eukaryotic small subunit ribosomal RNA", at positions 548 to 1098 of the family's 1831-position model. Lineage: Eukaryota; Fungi; Glomeromycota; Glomeromycetes; Archaeosporales; Ambisporaceae. The record is from RNAcentral.